RNAcentral lists this ribosomal RNA (1350 nucleotides) under uncultured bacterium. RNAcentral describes it as "bacterial SSU rRNA". It matches the Rfam family "Bacterial small subunit ribosomal RNA", at positions 28 to 1381 of the family's 1533-position model. The record is from RNAcentral.
GACGAACGCUGGCGGCGCUGCUUAACACAUGCAAGUCGAACAGGAAAGGCCCUGCUUUUGUGGGGUGCUCGAGUGGCGAACGGGUGAGAAACACGAGAGUAACCUGCCCUUGACUUUGGCAUAACUUCAGGGAACUGGGGCUAAUACCGGAUAGGAGCUCCUGCUGCAUGCUGGGGGUUGGAAAGUUUCGGAGGUUGGGCAUGGACUCCCUGCUCAUCAGCUUGGUGGUGGGGUAAUGGCUUACCACGGCUUUGACGGGUAGCCGGACUGAGAGGGUGACCGGCCCCCUUGGGACUGAAAUACGGCCCAUACUCCUACGGGAGGAAGACAAGGGGAAUAUUGCACAGUGGGCGGAAGCCUGAUGCAACAACGCCUCGUGCGGGAUGACGGCCUUCGGGUUGUAAACCGCUUUCGCCUGUGACGAAGCGUGAGAGACGGUAAUGGGUAAAGAAGCACCGGCUAACUACCUGCCAGCAUCCGCGGUGAUACGUAGGGUGCGAGCGUUGUCCGGAUUUAUUGAGCGUAAAGGGCUCGUAGGUGGUUGAUCGCGUCGGAAGUGUAAUCUUGGGGAUUUAACCUUGAGCGUGCCUUCGAUUACGGGUUGACUUGAGGAAGGUAGGGGAGAAUGGAAUUCCUGGUGGAGCGGUGGAAUGCGCAGAUAUCAGGAGGAACACCAGUGGCGAAGGGGGUUCUGUGGGCCUUUCCUGCCGCUGAGGAGCGAAAGCGUGGGGAGCGAACAGGCUUAGAUACCCUGGUAGUCCACGCUGUAAACGGUGGGUACUAGGUGUGGGGUCCAUUCCACAGGUUCCGUGCCGUAGCUAGCGCUUUAAGUACCCCGCCUGGGGAGUACGGCCGCAAGGCUAAAACUCAAAGGAAUUGACGGGGCCCCGCACAAGCGGCGGAGCAUGCGGAUUAAUUCGAUGCAACGCGUAGAACCUUACCUGGGUUUGACAUGGAUCGGGAGCGCUCAGAGAUGGGUGUGCCUCUUUUGGGGUCGGUUCACAGGUGGUGCAUGGCUGUCGUCAGCUCGUGUCGUGAGAGGUUGGGUUAAGUCCCGCAACGAGCGCAACCCUCGUUCACUGUUGCCAGCACGUUAUGGUGGGGACUCAGUGGAGACCGCCGGGGUCAACUCGGAGGAAGGUGGGGAUGACGUCAAGUCAUCAUGCCCCUUAUGUCCAGGGGUUCACGCAUGUUACAAUGGCUGGUACAGAGAGUGGCGAGCCUGUGAGGGUGAGCGAAUCUCGGAAAGCCGGUCUCAGUUCGGAUUGGGGUCUGCAACUCGACCUCAGGAAGUCGGAGUCGCUAGUAAUCGCAGAUCAGCAACGGUGCGGUGAAUACGUUCCCGGGGCU